This is a long non-coding RNA of Galleria mellonella (greater wax moth), 648 nucleotides long. RefSeq lists it as uncharacterized. The transcript is spliced from 3 exons. The record is from RefSeq and is a predicted model, not a curated record. Lineage: Eukaryota; Metazoa; Arthropoda; Insecta; Lepidoptera; Pyralidae.
CCACCAAGGUACUGCAAUAUGUUUGUGCCUCUUUGAAGUAUUUGCACCGCUAUUUGAUAAGUUCCUACGUGGAACGGAACGUUCCACAGCUGUCAAAAUAAUUUUACAGAACCUAUUGUAAUUGUUUAAGGGUUCAUUGACAUCAUACUCGAAAUCCAAAAGUAAUCGAUUAACAGUUUCAGAAUAAAGAUCCCAAUUAACGAGACAUGCUGCAACGCUCAGAAUUCUUACAGAAUUUAGCUAAAUGUCCAUACCUCAAGCACCGGUAGCAUUGUUUAACUGGUGGUAUAUAUGGAGUGACAUUGUGGCGCCAACCUCCAAUAUCCAGAUAUUCAGGUAAUACAGAUGCAGCAAAAGUAAUUGUCACGGUUAGAGUUGGCUGUAACACAUAUCCAUGAGUCAAGAUUCUGAGUCAGUAGAAGUAUCUUCCGAAUAUAUAUCCUUGUCAUUACAAGGUUCAUGGUCUACAUCACCUGAAUCGUCAUCUUUUUUUUUCCUUUUUCUACAACUGCGCUUCCCCAUGAAUGCUAAUUAUAUUACUGUCGCUGAAUUUAGUGAAAAUAUAAUAUUUUAUUCAAUAAUAAGAAUUGAUAGAGAUAGUUUUAAUAAAUUAAUAAAAAAAAUUUAAAAAACCCGCUUGUUCUUAUU